This is a long non-coding RNA of Peromyscus leucopus (white-footed mouse), 1798 nucleotides long. RefSeq lists it as uncharacterized. The transcript has 3 exons. The record is from RefSeq and is a predicted model, not a curated record. Lineage: Eukaryota; Metazoa; Chordata; Mammalia; Rodentia; Cricetidae.
GAGAGGCACAGAGAGCCUGUCUGCCUGGGGUGCAUGUUUCAAAUGCUUAGCUGCCUAUAAAGCUCUGACAGCCUAGGCUGUGGUUACUGAGGAAGAAUAUAAGUUGGCCUCUGUGGUGACCAUGUGAAGUGCUGACCUCGCUUGCAGACUUGACCUCUGGAUAUGACAAGGUAGCUUCACUCCAGAUCUACCAUUAACCCUGGAAAUUCAAACUCCCGUUCCCCCAAAAGAAUCUCAAAGCAAGAAAGAUGCAGACUAUUUCCUGAGGCGGCAGAAGAACCCAAUGUACUCUGGUGGCCAAGGAAACAGGGUGAAUGUUUAUAGCUACUUGGGGGAGCCAGGUGUGUUCGGGGGUUUUGUUUGCAGUUUUGUUUUUGUUUUUAAUCUAUCUUUAACUUCCUCUGCAACUUCUCCCCUCUUGUGAAUCAUUUCAUCUAACAACAACAAAAAAAAAAACCAAAAGCAAAAAACUAGGUACAUUUUCUUUGCCAUUGUAGCAACCUUCCCCCAUUAGUUAACUUUCUCUACCUAUCUAUGCAAUAAUUGAUAUAUUACAUUCUAAAUUGUAUGACCAACGUUGAUACAAUUCUAGUGUGCGUGUAUGUAUGUAUGCGCAUGCCCACAUGAAUGUGUCUGUGUGUGUAUGUGUGUGCUGAGGAAGGGCAGUAGAGAAAAGAAGAUUAUCUAAUUUUUGUUUAUUUACUUGUCUUUCAAAUUUAUCUUAAUAGGUGAGGUUCUGUGUCCUACUUCACCCAGCUCAUAAAAAGAAGUGCUGAAUCAGCAGAUAAAGUGAGGGAACAACCCUGGUAUGGCUGCGGCAUGACUCUUUAGGUCAUUAUCUCUCUCCCCCCUGCAAAUGAUGUAGGACUUUAAGCUCGCAGGAUCUAAAAGCAAAUUAUGAAGAAAAAGGAAAAGGGCCUGUGACUGAGACAACAGCAAUCAGCACUAGCAUUUCUGAAUGCACUUGGGACUCCACUGACUCUUUGCAUCUCCUGAACAGAACCAAGUAGGACAAAGUACCCAGUGCUUAUGUACACCAAGAACAAAGAACACCGAGUGCACAGUGAGAUCAGCUAACGGGGCCUGACUCAGUACCACCGCUCAUCCUGCGUCCAUUUCAUCCUCCGCCCAUCGGCAGCGCUGUCUCUCACUCCGUGGCACAGCUGACUCACUGUGACUGAAGAACACACUGUGCUGUUUACCGGUUCAUCUACUGUAUUUGUGACUGCCACAGUUUGGAAAUGAUCUAUUAGUACAGAAGUGCCUGUGCUGGAAGCUGGUCCCCACUGUAGGAGUAUUAAGAGGUGGUGGUGAACCUUUCAGAGAGGGGCCUAAGGGAAGGUGGCGAGGCCUUGAAAAGGUGAGUACAGGUCUCACAGCAGCAGGUUACCUUCAGAGAUACAAGAGUCUGGCUUCUUCAAGGCAUCUUACUUCUCUCUAAAUACAAUACUUCUCCAUCACUCUCUCUCCUGUCUAUAGCUGACACUCCAGGUCUUCAACAGUUCCAGUUUUUAAGGGUGAGGGGUCUCUAGUAGCAACUUAAUUACUCUGGGAACAAACAUCUAAAGCCAUUUUGAUGGAUGGUGGUAAUUUGAGCCCUGCUUGGUAUUUAACAGAAAGACUCUACAAUGAUCAGUCUUGAAACCAUUUACCUAUUCCCUUCUACUUUUACGGUUUUGUUUUGCUGUUUUCAUUAAUAAGAUAGGCCAGAAUUGGACAGAAGUAACAUGUUUGAUUGUUUGCGGUCUUUUUUUUUUUUUGACAGGGUUUCUCUAUGUUGCUCUGGCUGUCUUGGAAC